Molecule: non-coding RNA, 80 nt
Organism: Pangasianodon gigas (Mekong giant catfish)
Lineage: Eukaryota; Metazoa; Chordata; Actinopteri; Siluriformes; Pangasiidae
Source: the annotation of a GenBank genome assembly
AGCACGGUGGCUUAGUGGUUAGUAAGGUCACUGUUGCCUCGCACCUCUGGGGUUGCGGGUUUGAUUCCCGCCCUGUGUGU